Molecule: ribosomal RNA, 1134 nt
Filed under: Triticum aestivum (bread wheat)
Lineage: Eukaryota; Viridiplantae; Streptophyta; Magnoliopsida; Poales; Poaceae
Description: partial small subunit ribosomal RNA
Source: RNAcentral
AUGUUGCAAAGGAACCUGCCGAGUCUCUCCCUCCGGAUAAGCCCGCCGGCCGGCUCGUCGACGGCAUCCUCAGGCCCACCCGCAGCGGUGGGGAAGCCACUGCGGUCGACGGAACCAGCCGCGGGGACUGACGCGGAGGGAAGCGGCGAGGUAGGGUUCUUUGCAAACCCUAGCCCCGGCGCCGAUCCCCCGGGCCUGAGCCUGGGGCUCGGGGCGCCGACGAUGCGCGCCGACGCAGGCCGCUCGCAGGCGCCGCAGGGAUGCGCGUUCAAGCGCGCGGCCGCCGGCAGGGCUUCGCAGCCCGGCGGCUCGAAGAGGAGCGUCCGGGCGCCGCGGAUGCGGUGGACCACCGCGCUACACGCGCGGUUCAUGCACGCCGUCCAGCUCCUCGGCGGCCACGAGAGAGCGACGCCGAAGUCGGUGCUGGAGCUGAUGAACGUCAAGGAUCUGACGCUGGCGCACGUCAAGAGCCACCUGCAGAUGUAUAGGACGGUGAAGGGCACAGACAGAUCGUCGCACGUCGCCACAGGCGAGCAGCAGAUGGUGGUGGUGGACGCAGGAGGAAGAGGAUGCGGUGGCGGUGGCGGUGGUGGAGUGGUGGCGAUGCUGGCUGCUUGUGAUGUCGACAUGGCUGGCUUCUGCGGCGCGCCUGCGGCAGCCGCGGCAUCUGCGCCGCCUGCCGCGACGACUAGUUCCGCUGCGCAUUUCCUCUGUGCGUCAGCAACAGGAGCGGCAGCAGCUGCAGCGGCUUCACUGGUGGCACUGGUACCGUCGCCUCCUCCUCCACCCAUCCCCCCGAGGAGAGCUGACCUCGCAGCAGUGGCGCUCGAGAAAGGCGUCGCCAUUGUUGAUCCAUUGCACCGGUGUCAGAAGCUUGAUUACUCAGCAGCGUUCCAAGAUACUCCUCAGGAAGCUAAAGAGGAGGCGGCCGGUCACCUGCCGAUGGGGGUACAUGGGAGCGUGGAGGGGGCGAUCUCUGGGAACUACUGUUCAAGCCCUGCGAGCUCGUCUCCAUCUCUUGCAAGCUUCGAGCUGCUGGCGGACGACACCUUCGCGCCCAACCUGGAGAUAUCGCUUGGGAGGCACGACUGGGGCAUGGAGCACCCCGAAGAACUCAGCCUAAAAUACCUGUGA